This 521-nucleotide ribosomal RNA is filed under the name uncultured bacterium. RNAcentral's name for it is "bacterial SSU rRNA". It matches the Rfam family "Archaeal small subunit ribosomal RNA", at positions 345 to 866 of the family's 1478-position model. The record is from RNAcentral.
AACCUCCGCAAUGUGAGAAAUCGCGACGGGGGGAUCCCAAGUGCCAUUCUUAACGGGAUGGCUUUUCUUAAGUGUAAAAAGCUUUUGGAAUAAGAGCUGGGCAAGACCGGUGCCAGCCGCCGCGGUAACACCGGCAGCUCUAGUGGUAGCUGUUUUUAUUGGGCCUAAAGCGUUCGUAGCCGGUUUGAUAAGUCACUGGUGAAAUCCUGUAGCUUAACUGUGGGAAUUGCUGGUGAUACUGUUGAACUUGAGGUCGGGAGAGGUUAGCGGUACUCCCAGGGUAGAGGUGAAAUUCUGUAAUCCUGGGAGGACCACCUGUGGCGAAGGCGGCUAACUGGAACGAACCUGACGGUGAGGGACGAAAGCUAGGGGCGCGAACCGGAUUAGAUACCCGAGUAGUCCUAGCCGUAAACGAUGCGGACUUGGUGUUGGGAUGGCUUUGAGCCGCUCCGGUGCCGAAGGGAAGCUGUUAAGUCCGCCGCCUGGGAAGUACGGUCGCAAGACUGAAACUUAAAGGAAUU